GGGUCAAUAAGUUGGUCAUGCCAAUGGUAUGCACUGGCUUUAUUGAUUCCUACCUCUUGACGAACUGUGAUGCCAUUAAUUUGGUGUUGCAAGGAAUCAGGGACUGUUACCUUGAAAAAUUAGAGUGUUUAAAGCAAGCUUACGCUUGAAUACAUUAGCAUGGAAUAAUGAAAUAGGACGUUUGAUCCUAUUUUGUUGGUUUCUAGGAUCGACGUAAUGAUU
Molecule: ribosomal RNA, 222 nt
Filed under: uncultured Glomeromycotina
Lineage: Eukaryota; Fungi; Glomeromycota
Description: partial 18S ribosomal RNA
Rfam family: Eukaryotic small subunit ribosomal RNA
Source: RNAcentral